UGGGGAAUAUUGGACAAUGGGCGCAAGCCUGAUCCAGCCAUGCCGCGUGAGUGAUGAAGGCCCUAGGGUUGUAAAGCUCUUUCACCGGUGAAGAUAAUGACGGUAACCGGAGAAGAAGCCCCGGCUAACUUCGUGCCAGCAGCCGCGGUAAUACGAAGGGGGCUAGCGUUGUUCGGAUUUACUGGGCGUAAAGCGCACGUAGGCGGACUUUUAAGUCAGGGGUGAAAUCCCGGGGCUCAACCCCGGAACUGCCUUUGAUACUGGAAGUCUUGAGUAUGGUAGAGGUGAGUGGAAUUCCGGGUGUAGAGGUGAAAUUCGUAGAUAUUCGGAGGAACACCAGUGGCGAAGGCGGCUCACUGGACCAAUACUGACGCUGAGGUGCGAAAGCGGGGGGAGCAAACAGG
This 404-nucleotide ribosomal RNA is filed under the name Actinomycetes bacterium. Its description in RNAcentral is "Actinobacteria bacterium partial 16S ribosomal RNA". It matches the Rfam family "Bacterial small subunit ribosomal RNA", at positions 355 to 776 of the family's 1533-position model. Lineage: Bacteria; Bacillati; Actinomycetota; Actinomycetes. The record is from RNAcentral.